Long non-coding RNA from Lingula anatina, 187 nucleotides. The record is from RefSeq and is a predicted model, not a curated record. Lineage: Eukaryota; Metazoa; Brachiopoda; Lingulata; Lingulida; Lingulidae.
CUUUGUUACUCGUGCAGAUGUUUGUUACUACUGAGGGUCAUUUUCGUGUUGGGAGAAAGAGCAGGAUAUUAAGAAAAGUCAGCCGCGAACUUAUGACAGUUUUAGACGGUAUAUCGGGAGACAUGGCCAAAUUGGGGAACAUAGCAUUAGAUGCCGAAAGUGGCGAUUAACAUGAGAUGAGACAGCG